UACGAAGGGGACUAGCGUUGCUCGGAAUUACUGGGCGUAAAGCGCACGUAGGCGGAUUUGUUAGUCAGGGGUGAAAUCCCGGGGCUCAACCUCGGAACUGCCUUUGAUACUGCAAAUCUCGAGUCCGAUAGAGGUGGGUGGAAUUCCUAGUGUAGAGGUGAAAUUCGUAGAUAUUAGGAAGAACACCGGUGGCGAAGGCGGCCCACUGGAUCGGUACUGACGCUGAGGUGCGAAAGCGUGGGGAGCAAACAGG
Molecule: ribosomal RNA, 253 nt
Filed under: uncultured bacterium
Lineage: Bacteria
Description: partial 16S ribosomal RNA
Rfam family: Bacterial small subunit ribosomal RNA
Source: RNAcentral